CCUCAACUCCGGCCCUACCCCAACGCGGCCCGGAUCGCCGACUCCUCCUGCUUCCCCCAGUACACCGCCUCCCUCAAGUGUCUGGAGACCAACCAGGACAAGAGCAAGUGCCAGUAGCAGUUCGACAACUAUAAGGAGUGCAAGAAGAGAGAGGUUCACCUUUGUUUCCCCAAUUCUCUCUAG
Molecule: ribosomal RNA, 183 nt
Filed under: Triticum aestivum (bread wheat)
Lineage: Eukaryota; Viridiplantae; Streptophyta; Magnoliopsida; Poales; Poaceae
Description: partial small subunit ribosomal RNA
Source: RNAcentral